GCAGCUCAGUAGUAGAGCAUCUGAUUUGCAUGCAGAAGGUCCCAAGUUCAAUCCCUGGCAUCUCCA
Molecule: non-coding RNA, 66 nt
Organism: Podarcis lilfordi (Lilford's wall lizard)
Lineage: Eukaryota; Metazoa; Chordata; Lepidosauria; Squamata; Lacertidae
Source: the annotation of a GenBank genome assembly